GUGUGUGUACAGUAUGUGUGUACAGUGUGUGUGUGUGUGUACAGUAUGUGUGUAUGUACAGUAUGUGUGUGUACAGUAUGUGUGUGUGCGCAUGUGUACAGUAUGUGUGUACAGUGUGUGUGUACAGUAUGUGUGUACAGUGUGUGUGUACAGUAUGUGUGUGUGUGCAUGUGUACAGUAUGUGUGUACAGUGUGUGUGUGUACAGUAUGUGUGUGUAUGUGUACAGUAUGUGUGUACAGUAUGUGUGUGUGCAUUGUGUGUACAGUAUGUGUGUGUAUGUUGUGUGUACAGUAUGUGUGUGUGUACAGUAUGUGUGUGUAUGUGUACAGUAUGUGUAUGUACAGUGUGUGU
Long non-coding RNA from Ictalurus punctatus (channel catfish), 352 nucleotides. The record is from Ensembl. NCBI's taxonomy places the organism in Eukaryota, Metazoa, Chordata, Actinopteri, Siluriformes, Ictaluridae.